GGAAUAUAAGAACUCGUCUCUUAACUUUUAACUAAAAAAACUAAGAACCGGUUUUUAAAUAAGAGUUUUAAGAGACGGUUCUUAUCGUUUUUAGUUAAAAGUUAGAGACGGAUUCUUAUAUUCC
This is a non-coding RNA of Brassica napus (rape), 124 nucleotides long. The record is from Rfam. NCBI's taxonomy places the organism in Eukaryota, Viridiplantae, Streptophyta, Magnoliopsida, Brassicales, Brassicaceae.